RNAcentral lists this ribosomal RNA (253 nucleotides) under uncultured bacterium. RNAcentral's name for it is "partial 16S ribosomal RNA". It matches the Rfam family "Bacterial small subunit ribosomal RNA", at positions 524 to 776 of the family's 1533-position model. The record is from RNAcentral.
UACGUAGGGUGCAAGCGUUAAUCGGAAUUACUGGGCGUAAAGCGUGCGCAGGCGGUCUUGCAAGACAGAUGUGAAAUCCCCGGGCUCAACCUGGGAACUGCAUCUGUGACUGCAUCGCUGGAGUGCGGCAGAGGGGGAUGGAAUUCCGCGUGUAGCAGUGAAAUGCGUAGAUAUGCGGAGGAACACCGAUGGCGAAGGCAAUCCCCUGGGCCUGCACUGACGCUCAUGCACGAAAGCGUGGGAAGCAAACAGG